RNAcentral lists this ribosomal RNA (486 nucleotides) under uncultured bacterium. RNAcentral describes it as "partial 16S ribosomal RNA". It matches the Rfam family "Bacterial small subunit ribosomal RNA", at positions 30 to 507 of the family's 1533-position model. The record is from RNAcentral.
AUUGAACGCUGGCGGCAUGCCUUACACAUGCAAGUCGAACGGCAGCACGGGUGCUUGCACCUGGUGGCGAGUGGCGAACGGGUGAGUAAUACAUCGGAACAUGUCCUGUAGUGGGGGAUAGCCCGGCGAAAGCCGGAUUAAUACCGCAUACGAUCCACGGCUGAAAGCGGGGGACCUUCGGGCCUCGCGCUAUAGGGUUGGCCGAUGUCUGAUUAGCUAGUUGGUGGGGUAAAGGCCUACCAAGGCGACGAUCAGUAGCUGGUCUGAGAGGACGACCAGCCACACUGGGACUGAGACACGGCCCAGACUCCUACGGGAGGCAGCAGUGGGGAAUUUUGGACAAUGGGCGAAAGCCUGAUCCAGCAAUGCCGCGUGUGUGAAGAAGGCCUUCGGGUUGUAAAGCACUUUUGUCCGGAAAGAAAUCCUUGGCUCUAAUACAGUCGGGUGAUGACGGUACCGGAAGAAUAAGCACCGGCUAACUACGUG